CCUGGCGGCGAGUGGCGAAGGGGUGAGUAAUGUAUCGGAACGUGCCCAGUAGCGGGGGAUAACUACGCGAAAGCGUAGCUAAUACCGCAUACGCCCUUAGGGGGAAAGGCGGGGAUCCUUCGGGACCUGUCACUAUUGGAGCGGCCGAUAUCGGAUUAGCUGGUUGGUGGGGUAAUGGCCUACCAAGGCGACGAUCCGUAGCUGGUUUGAGAGGACGACCAGCCACACUGGGACUGAGACACGGCCCAGACUCCUACGGGAGGCAGCAGUGGGGAAUUUUGGACAAUGGGGGCAACCCUGAUCCAGCCAUCCCGCGUGUGCGAUGAAGGCCUUCGGGUUGUAAAGCACUUUUGGCAGGGAAGAAAUUGCCUGGGUUAAUAGCCUGGGCCGAUGACGGUACCUGCAGAAUAAGCACCGGCUAACUACGUGCCAGCAGCCGCGGUAAUACGUAGGGUGCGAGCGUUAAUCGGAAUUACUGGGCGUAAAGCGUGCGCAGGCGGUUCGGAAAGAGAGAUGUGAAAUCCCAGGGCUCAACCUUGGAACUGCAUUUUUAACUACCGGGCUAGAGUGUGUCAGAGGGGGGUGGAAUUCCGCGUGUAGCAGUGAAAUGCGUAGAGAUGCGGAGGAACACCGAUGGCGAAGGCAGCCCCCUGGGAUAACACUGACGCUCAUGCACGAAAGCGUGGGUAGCAAACAGGAUUAGAUACCCUGGUAGUCCACGCCCUAAACGAUGUCAACUAGCUGUUGGGG
RNAcentral lists this ribosomal RNA (750 nucleotides) under uncultured Burkholderiales bacterium. RNAcentral describes it as "bacterial SSU rRNA". It matches the Rfam family "Bacterial small subunit ribosomal RNA", at positions 84 to 828 of the family's 1533-position model. Lineage: Bacteria; Pseudomonadati; Pseudomonadota; Betaproteobacteria; Burkholderiales. The record is from RNAcentral.